This 252-nucleotide ribosomal RNA is filed under the name uncultured bacterium. Its description in RNAcentral is "partial 16S ribosomal RNA". It matches the Rfam family "Bacterial small subunit ribosomal RNA", at positions 524 to 776 of the family's 1533-position model. The record is from RNAcentral.
UACGUAGGGCGCGAGCGUUGUCCGGAUUUAUUGGGCGUAAAGAGCUCGUAGGCGGCUUGUCGCGUCGGCUGUGAAAACCCGCGGCUCAACUGUGGGCGGGCAGCUGAUACGGGCAGGCUGGAGUUCGGUAGGGGAGACUGGAAUUCCUGGUGUAGCGGUGAAAUGCGCAGAUAUCAGGAGGAACACCGGUGGCGAAGGCAGGUCUCUGGCAUUAACUGACGCUGAGGAGCGAAAGCAUGGGGAGCGAACAGG